GGAUGUGAGGGUGAUCUGGCUGUGACAUCUGUCACCCCAUUGAUAUCCAGGAUUGAUUUGGCUGAUCUGGCUGGCUAGGCGGGUGUCCCCUUCCUCCCUCACUGCUGCAUGUGCAUCCCUCCCAAAGCUGCACACUCGGUGGAAGAGGAUGUCCGUCCCGAUAGAGGACUGUUCUUCGGUCAAGGGUAUAUGAGUAGUUGUGCUCCCCUCCUAGGACCUCCAAACAAGCUCUCAAGAAUUCCAAUUUUAAGGACUAUUAAACAGCUUCGGAACAUCUCAGAGUGUUUAUUGUGUCUC
Molecule: small nuclear RNA, 297 nt
Filed under: Castor canadensis (American beaver)
Lineage: Eukaryota; Metazoa; Chordata; Mammalia; Rodentia; Castoridae
Description: 7SK RNA (ENSCCNG00000008948.1)
Rfam family: 7SK RNA
About the family: 7SK was discovered as an abundant small nuclear RNA in the mid-70s but a possible function has only recently been suggested. Two independent studies have found that 7SK RNA binds the CDK9/cyclin T complex (known as elongation factor P-TEFb).
Source: Rfam by way of RNAcentral